This 253-nucleotide ribosomal RNA is filed under the name uncultured bacterium. RNAcentral describes it as "partial 16S ribosomal RNA". It matches the Rfam family "Bacterial small subunit ribosomal RNA", at positions 524 to 776 of the family's 1533-position model. The record is from RNAcentral.
UACGGAGGGUGCGAGCGUUGUCCGGAAUCAUUGGGCGUAAAGGGCGCGUAGGCGGUGCGGUAAGUCACCUGUGAAAUCUCCUGGCUCAACUGGGAGCUUGCAGGCGAAACUGCCGUGCUGGAGUGUGGGAGAGGUGCGUGGAAUUCCUGGUGUAGCGGUGAAAUGCGUAGAUAUCAGGAGGAACACCUGUGGCGAAAGCGGCGCACUGGACCACAACUGACGCUGAGGCGCGAAAGCUAGGGGAGCAAACAGG